CUAGAUAGCUUGACCCCAACAAUGCCGUGGACACUCUGAUGGAAUGCCGUUGACAUGAUCAAAGAUCAAGGACCUAACCAUUAGACAUCUAUGAUGCCUCAGGUCAAAGGACUACUUUGCAUAUUGCAACUUUCGAGUUCUUACAUGACAUGUAUGUUCGAACUCUCUUUUUUAUCGUUGUUCAGUGUACUCGAUUACUCUUUCGAGCACCU
RNAcentral lists this long non-coding RNA (212 nucleotides) under Malus domestica (apple). RNAcentral describes it as "long non-coding RNA (MDOM_LNC000038)". Lineage: Eukaryota; Viridiplantae; Streptophyta; Magnoliopsida; Rosales; Rosaceae. The record is from RNAcentral.